Long non-coding RNA from Callithrix jacchus (white-tufted-ear marmoset), 2545 nucleotides. The record is from Ensembl. NCBI's taxonomy places the organism in Eukaryota, Metazoa, Chordata, Mammalia, Primates, Cebidae.
UCUGUAUUAACCUGAAGGCAGUUAACAGGCAAAACCCAGGCCCAGGAGAAAAACCUUGAUGACAUCUUAGAAGUCAGAGCUCAGAGGAAUGCGCUCUGGAGACUUUUCCAGGACUCCCUCAACAUAAGGAGGGAAACAUAAAUUUUCCUUAUACCCUUACCCCUAUAAUAUGAGUAAGCUUAGAAAUUUAUAUGUCUCUCUCCUGUAUAACUUCAUGUAGUCUGUUUUGUAUCUAAACAACAUGUUGAAGGCUAAGAGAAAUGCCUAAGCAGGCCAGAACUGCCAACACCAAGGGCCCAGGACAAAGGCUAAAAGAUAAACUCACCUGAGAUUCUGUCCUAAUCAGCCCAAGUCCAAGAUGAGCAUCAGGCCCGCAUACCAAGAGUCAUAAGUAAGCCGGUCACAGUUUUGAUUAACUGCUUGUGUUCUUGCUUCAGUAAAACCUGCUUCCUGCUUCAUGAUUUCACGCCUCUGGAUGCAUAAAAGACACUUGCUCUCUUUGUCCAUUGCUCAGACAUUCUGGAUGUGAAUCCACUGAGCAGGUGUACACCUUAAAUAAAUCUUCCUGUAACCUCAUCAUUCUCUCUGGUUCCCUGAUUUCCCACAACAGUCCCAGCCAAGAUGGGAAUAAGGAGACUUGAGAAGCAAAGGUCAUGUCGUAUCCUAGAUAAUAGGCAAACAUUGGAAGAAUUUUCUGGGCUCAGGAGAAGCCAAAAAAAAAAAAAGAGGGAAAGUUUGGAACCUCUUAGAGUCUGGUUAAUUGGUCAUAAUAAAAAUUCUGAUAGAAAUAUGGAUAGUAAAGUCCUUCUGAUGAGGUCUGAGAGAGAAAUGAGGAAUUUAUUUGGAACUGGAGGUUGCCCUUGUUACACUGUAGUAAAUAACUUGGCUGUAUUUGAUCUCCGCCCUAGUGCUUUGUGGAAUGCUGAAUUUUACCAAUUUUUGAGGCAGCCCCUCUAAUCACAGACCCAAAAGCCAAGGACAGAGUGGUUAUGAAUGAACAAUCAGAGGCACCACUUCCCUAAGCUGCCUCAUAAUGCUGUUCCCUGCAUCCUGGCCCCAGGUGUUGCUCAGAUCGCAACUCCAGAGAGCACAAGUCAUAAGACUUGGUGGCUUCCAUGAGGUGUUAAAUUUGCAGGUAUACAGAACGCAAGAGUUGUAGAGAUUCGGCAGCUUUCACCUAGAUCUCAGAGAAUGUAUCAGAAAGCUUGCGUGCCCAGCUAAAGGCCUGUCUGCCGCAGGUGUGGAGCCCCCUCAGAGAGGCUCUACUAAGGCAAUGACUCGCAGAAAUGUGGGGUUGGGGCCUCAGCAAAGAGACCCCACUGGAGUACUGCCUGGUGGACCUGUGGAAAUGAGGCUGGUGCCCUCCAGACACCAGAACUGUAGAGCAAAGAGCAGCAUGCAAUUGGAAAAGCUAUAGGCAUUCAACUCUAACCCAUGGAAGUAGCCAUGUGGGCUACACCUAGCAAAGCCAUGGGACAGGGCUGCCCAAGGUUUUGGAGGCCCAUUCUUUGUACUGAUAUGGGAUACAGAGUCAAAAGCAAUUAUUUUAUAGCUCACGGAUUUAAUGUCUGCUCCACUGGGUUUUAGACAUGUAUGAGCCUGUUACCCCUUUCUUUUGUUCUAUGUUUCUAAUUUGGAUUGGGAAUGUUUACCCAAUAUCUCUUCCAUCAUUGUCUCUUUCAAGUUAAUAACUUGUUUUUCAGUUUACAGGCUUAUAGCCAGAAAAAAUUUGCCUUGGGUUUCAGAUGGGACUUUGGACUUCGGACUUUGGGGUUGGUACAGGAACAAGUUCAGACUUUUGGGGCACUGUUGGGAUGAGAUUGUUUUAUUUUGCAGUGUGACAAAGACAUGAGGUUUAUGGUCCAACGAUAGGAUGUUAUAGUUUGGAUACUUAGCCCUCCAUACCUCCCUAAUGCUGAAGGUGUGGCUGAGAGGAAGAUGUUUGGAUCAUGGAGAUGGAUCACUUGUAAAUGCCUCGGUGCCAUUCUUGUAGUAGCAAUUGAGUUCUCAGUCUGUUACCUCCAAGGUAUGUUACUUCCACUGAGAGUUCCCUGAGAGCUGGCUGUUAAACAGAGCCUGGCAUCGGCCCCCAAUUUUGUGCUUCUUCUCUCACCAUGUCAUCACAUGCCCGAUUCCCUUUGCCUUCCACCAUGAGUGGAAGCCACCUAAGACGCCCUAACCAGAAGCAGAUGCUGGUGUCAUACUUCUUGUACAGGUGAAUAACUGUGAGCUAAACAAACUUAUUUCCUUUAUAAAUGACCCAACCUCAGGUAAUCUUUUACAGCAACACAAAAUGGACUAAAACAAUGUUGCUCCACCGUCUUCUCACCUGCAUGGUUCUUGCUGAUAAGUCUGUUCUCAUCAUUAUCUCUGCUCCUCUGUCUUUUGUUCUCUGGCUUGUUAUUUUAAGAUAUUCACUUUGUCACUGGUUAUAAGCAAUCUGAUUAUGAUGAGUUUAUGGUACUUUUAAUCAUGUUUUCAGUGUUCGUGUUGAUUUUCUUGAAUUCGUUGGUUAGAGUUUUCAUUAAAAUUAAACAUUUUGGAC